Xiphophorus maculatus (southern platyfish) is the source of this 344-nucleotide long non-coding RNA. RefSeq lists it as uncharacterized. The record is from RefSeq and is a predicted model, not a curated record. Lineage: Eukaryota; Metazoa; Chordata; Actinopteri; Cyprinodontiformes; Poeciliidae. The transcript has 2 exons.
UACAAGCAUCGCAGUCUGUACUCACAUGUUGAGGGACUUGGCUGCCUCGUAGACACCAACCGUAAUGCAGCCCUGAGGCAAGGCAGAGAACUCACCCCAACUGCCGGUCCAGAACGGCUAUAACCUUCAGCACAGCCUCAUAGCAACGGGACGCUUCCCGGAAGACCUGUCCUCUGAUUGGUCUGUCGUGGAGAAUGCGAAUCCCCUCCCGGAAGCAGCGCGCGAGAUACAAGGUACUGGCGCGAGAGUGACCGGAAGAUGGAGCUGAGCUCAAAGAAAACUGAAAACACAAAACUUCGAAACAUGUGGAAAAACCGGCUCAAUAAAACCCAUUCUGCAAUAUG